GACGAACGCUGGCGGCGUGCUUAACACAUGCAAGUCGAGCGAUGAAGUUCCUUCGGGAAUGGAUUAGCGGCGGACGGGUGAGUAACACGUGGGUAACUUGCCUCAUAGAGGGGAAUAGCCUUUCGAAAGGAAGAUUAAUACCGCAUAAGAUUGUAGUACCGCAUGGUACAGCAAUUAAAGGAGUAAUCCGCUAUGAGACGGACCCGCGUCGCAUUAGCUAGUUGGUGAGGUAACGGCUCACCAAGGCGACGAUGCGUAGCCGACCUGAGAGGGUGAUCGGCCACAUUGGGACUGAGACACGGCCCAGACUCCUACGGGAGGCAGCAGUGGGGAAUAUUGCACAAUGGGGGAAACCCUGAUGCAGCAACGCCGCGUGAGUGUUGACGGUCUUCGGAUUGUAAAACUCUGUCUUCAGGGACGAUAAUGACGGUACCUGAGGAGGAAGCCACGGCUAACUACGUGCCAGCCGCCGCCGUAA
Molecule: ribosomal RNA, 478 nt
Filed under: uncultured bacterium
Lineage: Bacteria
Description: partial 16S ribosomal RNA
Rfam family: Bacterial small subunit ribosomal RNA
Source: RNAcentral